This 253-nucleotide ribosomal RNA is filed under the name uncultured bacterium. RNAcentral's name for it is "partial 16S ribosomal RNA". It matches the Rfam family "Bacterial small subunit ribosomal RNA", at positions 524 to 776 of the family's 1533-position model. The record is from RNAcentral.
UACGUAGGGUGCAAGCGUUAAUCGGAAUUACUGGGCGUAAAGCGUGCGCAGGCGGCUAUGCAAGACAGAUGUGAAAGCCCCGGGCUCAACCUGGGAAUGGCAAUGGAUACUGGCAAGCUAGAGUGCGGUAGAGGGUAGUGGAAUUCCCGGUGUAGCGGUGAAAUGCGUAGAGAUCGGGAGGAACACCAGUGGCGAAGGCGGCUACCUGGACCAGCACUGACACUGAGGCACGAAAGCGUGGGGAGCAAACAGG